ACUGUGGAACACAGUGUCAGUUCGGCUGGACCGUCACAGGUGGUGCAUGGCUGUCGUCAGCUCGUGUCGUGAGAUGUUGGGUUAAGUCCCGCAACGAGCGCAACCCCCGUCGCAUGUUGCCAGCGGUUCGGCCGGGGACUCAUGCGAGACUGCCGGUGACAAACCGGAGGAAGGUGGGGAUGACGUCAAGUCAUCAUGCCCCUUAUGUUCAGGGCUACACACGUGCUACAAUGGCCGGUACAAACCGUCGCGAUGCCGCAAGGUGGAGCUAAUCGGAGAAAACCGGUCUCAGUUCGGAUUGCGGGCUGCAACUCGCCUGCAUGAAGUUGGAAUCGCUAGUAAUCGCGGAUCAGCACGCCGCGGUGAAUACGUUCCCGGGCCUUGUACACACCGCCCGUCACAUCACGAAAGCCGGCUGUACUAGAAGUCGCUGCGCUAACCCGCAAGGGGGGCAAGCGCCUAAGGUAUGGUCGGUGAUUGGGGUGAAGUCGUAACAAGGUAACCGU
This 506-nucleotide ribosomal RNA is filed under the name uncultured Actinomycetes bacterium. RNAcentral describes it as "bacterial SSU rRNA". It matches the Rfam family "Bacterial small subunit ribosomal RNA", at positions 997 to 1503 of the family's 1533-position model. The record is from RNAcentral. Lineage: Bacteria; Bacillati; Actinomycetota; Actinomycetes.